CCAACGACCAAAGCAAAGGACAGCAUAACUGAAUGACACAUUGCUCAGAAAAUAUCCAAAGCUCUGUACGCUCUGGAAAGGAAGGCAAGAAUUGCUAAAGACUCUGGAUAUUGCUCUGUUUCUAUAAGGUCCCACCCAUAUACCAUCUCUUCUUUUGGAUUUCCUUUGGCAGUAACCUGAAGUUAUAUAAGUGGCAUGUUGCCAAGUACAAAGGGAGCCCUUCUAUUGCUUCUGCUUACAAAGAGGUGUCAACGUAAGAAAAAGCCAGAACAAGUCAAAGUUCAGGGUUCCCUUGUAUGGAAGUUCUCGGGAGAACAACACUCUCAGAGUCCCAUUGUCUCAAAGAAUUCUUAAUGGACAGCUAUACUUGGCCCCAAGGUUCCAACCUCACAUUGAAGAAAGUGACAUAAGAAAACACAAGUCCCAGCGCUAUCAGGGGCUAUCUGGAAAAGCUGCUUAAACGGCAAGUGAAAGAAGGCUCUCCCCUACCCCGUUCUAGACUCACCCUGAAGUUAUUUGAAGGAUCCUUGAAACUCUUUUGGAUUGCUGCUUGGAGAACAUUCCUGUAACUUGUUCCUGCUCCUUGAACUAUAAAAGCAGAAGGGAAUUACUGAGUUAAAACUUAUAAAUUAUUAUCAAAUAAAUCUUCAACAGUGGUUCAGUCCAA
RNAcentral lists this non-coding RNA (667 nucleotides) under Pongo abelii (Sumatran orangutan). Lineage: Eukaryota; Metazoa; Chordata; Mammalia; Primates; Hominidae. The record is from RNAcentral.